Molecule: long non-coding RNA, 942 nt
Filed under: Zonotrichia albicollis (white-throated sparrow)
Lineage: Eukaryota; Metazoa; Chordata; Aves; Passeriformes; Passerellidae
Description: lncRNA (ENSZALG00000001057.1)
Source: RNAcentral
CCUGGGAGCUGUGCCCUGCUCCGGGGACAGUGCAGCAGUACAGGGGAAGGAGCUGCUGCAGUUUCACCCUUUAAUGCCAGGUGUUUCACGUGGAGGUUACGGAGCUAUGGAAUUGUUGGCUGGAAGCGACCUCUGGAGGUCUCCAGCCCAAAGGCCCCAUCGGAGCGGCACCCAUGGACACCAGGUUACAUCAGCCACAGCCACGUCUGAAAAGCUCCAGGGCUGAAAGCUCCCGUGCCCCCCCCCCCCCCCCGAGAUGACCAGUGGCCGUGCUGGUCACUACCUUGGCAAGAAGAUUCCCCUGGGUUCAGGCUGCCCCUCCCACUGACCCUUUAGCCAUCACCCCCAGCUGUGCUGGCUCUGGCGCGUUAGUAACUGCGCUUGAGUAGCUGCAAACUGCCCUUGGAUUUGCCUCAGCCGCCUUCUCGCCAAAGCAAACAGGUUACUCCUUGUGCGCCGGCUGCUGGACCCUCUUCUCUAUGGCUCUUUUGAACGGGGAUGCUGUGGUGCUCUUGUUGCUUGUGUGGCAGCAGCUCAAGGGACUGGGCCCAGCCCUGCUGGAGGAGAACAGGACCAGUGACAGCCUGACAUUGCCCCAGAGGCUUCUCAACUCCUGGGUAACUUCAUCCUCAGCUGCUGAAGGUGGCUGCUGGGUCACUUUUGUCAGUGGGACUGGAAGGGAGCCAUCACCUGCCUCCUGGAUGGCCUGCCAGCCCUGGUGUGUGGUGAGUUCCAGCUCAAACAGGAUGAUUUUUGUGUUGUUUUACUGUGCCGCAGGGUGCUGGGAUGUUUUGGUGCUGCCCGAGUUGUUAAAUACACGUGAGCUGUCAGUGGUGCCUCUCUCAGCUGAGUGGGACCACGGAUGGAGUGGGGAAGCAGGAUGGGCUGGGCAGCUGGGCAGUGUCUGCCAGACACAAAGGACAUCUGUGCUGUGCAAUGGGA